CUCUCACAGGGGUAGGGAUAGGAAUUCUGGCUACACCUCGGACACCUAAUACCUGCUUAACGAGUUAUAUUUUGGCGACUUUGAGCCUCAGUCGUCAGUUUUUCCGGAAGAGCAAAUGAUUUCCGGGUUUCUGUGUGGCGAAAUGGCGUCCAGGCUGUACCCUAUCGGGAACUUCCUGAACGGAGUGAGGGCCCCUAGUUAAUUCUGCUUUUCUCACAACCAUGUAGUUGCAGUACCUUUCUACUGGUAAAAAACCACUUCCGUUUUGAAUUAUGCCUGUGUUCUUUUACUUAGAUAAAACUAAAUUCGCUUCUAGAAAAGUAAUUUCUGCUCGUCUAAGAGGUAUUUAGUGUCAGUAUCCUUCUACUCGUAGAAAAAAACCAUUCACUUUUUAAUUAUUCUUGUAUCCCUUUUUAAAAUUGCAAAGGUACGAUCUGACUUGAUGGGUUGUCAGCCAGCUAGAUUACCAAGGAAAUAACUUUUCUAUUUUCUGGAAACUUUUCUAUUCAUCUGGAAAUAAAACAAUUUUUAUAUGUG
Daphnia magna is the source of this 537-nucleotide long non-coding RNA. RefSeq lists it as uncharacterized. The record is from RefSeq and is a predicted model, not a curated record. Lineage: Eukaryota; Metazoa; Arthropoda; Branchiopoda; Diplostraca; Daphniidae. The transcript has 2 exons.